GAUCAAACUGCCAACAUUCCUAAAGGUCAGUAAGGACAAGAAUAGCCUGUUUGUAAGGACUGAUGAAACUGGAAUUUGCUGAUGACCAGAUCGCUAACCAAUCAAUGAAGUAUAUGUCCAAGUCUAGCCUUUUGCCUGAUGACCGAAUCUCAAGCCAAUCUGGGAAGUACAAACCCAGCGUUACUUCAUCUAGCACCAGUGAACUCUUCUUUAACACAAUUUACUUCAUCCUCCUCCCUUUUCCCCAUAAAAGCUUUGAGCCCCUCUCCUGUAAUCAGGACACUAUUUGGGUUUCUACCUGAAUCUGCGCUUCCCAAAUUGUAAUUCUUUGAUCCCAAAUAAAUGCUUUGCCUCUUAAACUGGUUUCUGUUCUUGUAGGUUGACACCAGAGAGUAGCAGGCUGUUUUCUGCUAUUGCUGUCCUCCCCUGAGACAAUCAACUUAAACUGGCCCAACUUCCUGGAUGAAGGUCUUUUUCAGAGGAAAUUCUUCCAUAUGUAGCUGUGGACUUGGUGUGUCCGUGGGAGGAAGUGAAUUCAGGACCUUCCUACGUCACCAUCUUGAACAGGAACCAUCAAAAGGAAAGAGAAAAAAAUCAUCCCUGACAAGUAGCAGCUGCCGAAAAUGAAGCUUUGGUGCUCAGAGGAAAGUGAAGUCUCCAGCCAUGCAAACCAGUGCCCCACAGCUUCAAGGACACUUCUUUUCUGCAGGGAAAUUAGAAAGACUGAAAUGGGCUCAUCCAUCAGUGUUACCCCUGCCCUUCACUGUCUUUGCACUAUUUUACAACUCUGUAUGGACAAGUGAUAGUAAUACAAGUAAUUCCUAUCCAUAGAAAAAAAUAGGGCUCAUUAG
This 851-nucleotide long non-coding RNA is filed under the name Equus caballus (horse). Its description in RNAcentral is "lncRNA (ENSECAG00000047118.1)". Lineage: Eukaryota; Metazoa; Chordata; Mammalia; Perissodactyla; Equidae. The record is from RNAcentral.